UGGAGAGUUUGAUCCUGGCUCAGGACGAACGCUGGCGGCAUGCCUAAUACAUGCAAGUCGAGCGAACAGAUGAAGUGCUUGCACUUCUGACGUUAGCGGCGAACGGGUGAGUAACACGUAAGGAAUCUACCUAUAAGCGGGGGAUAACAUUCGGAAACGGGUGCUAAUACCGCAUAAUAUCUUCUUCCGCAUGGAAGAAGAUUGAAAGACGGCUCUGCUGUCACUUAUAGAUGACCUUGCGGUGCAUUAGUUAGUUGGUGGGGUAAYGGCCUACCAAGACGAUGAUGCAUAGCCGACCUGAGAGGGUGAUCGGCCACAUUGGGACUGAGACACGGCCCAAACUCCUACGGGAGGCAGCAGUAGGGAAUCUUCCGCAAUGGGCGAAAGCCUGACGGAGCAAUGCCGCGUGAGUGAAGAAGGCCUUCGGGUCGUAAAACUCUGUUAUAAGAGAAGAACAAAUUGUAGAGUAACUGCUACAGUCUUGACGGUAUCUUAUCAGAAAGCCACGGCUAACUACGUGCCAGCAGCCGCGGUA
RNAcentral lists this ribosomal RNA (535 nucleotides) under Aerococcus viridans. RNAcentral describes it as "bacterial SSU rRNA". It matches the Rfam family "Bacterial small subunit ribosomal RNA", at positions 1 to 522 of the family's 1533-position model. The record is from RNAcentral. Lineage: Bacteria; Bacillati; Bacillota; Bacilli; Lactobacillales; Aerococcaceae.